UUAUGGCUUAUUAUAUGAUGUAUAGGGAUUUUUGAUGUCCGAGGAGAUGGUUUAACUCCAUUAGCUAUA
RNAcentral lists this transfer RNA (69 nucleotides) under Coleoptera sp. ACP-2013. Its description in RNAcentral is "tRNA-Gln". The record is from RNAcentral. Lineage: Eukaryota; Metazoa; Arthropoda; Insecta; Coleoptera.